Molecule: non-coding RNA, 258 nt
Organism: Podarcis lilfordi (Lilford's wall lizard)
Lineage: Eukaryota; Metazoa; Chordata; Lepidosauria; Squamata; Lacertidae
Source: the annotation of a GenBank genome assembly
UGUAGGCGACACCCGGUACGGGAGGAGGGGGUGGCUGAUGCUGCAGUGACGGUGGCGGCAGAGGGACCCAGCGGUGCAGUGCGGCAGCGACAUCGCUUGCCUGUUUGGCACGACUCAGUUAGGGAUUCCACAGCAGCAAAAUCCAGAAGCCGAGAAGGGGGUUAUUGAAGCGGUGGCCCCCUUUUCGCUGGGUCCCUCUGCUGCCACCGCUGCAGCAUCAGCCACCCCCUCCUCCGGUACUGGGUGUCGCCAGUGGUU